AUUGAACGCUAGCGGGAUGCCUUACACAUGCAAGUCGAACGGCAGCACGGACUUCGGUCUGGUGGCGAGUGGCGAACGGGUGAGUAAUGUAUCGGAACGUGCCCAGUAGCGGGGGAUAACUACGCGAAAGCGUAGCUAAUACCGCAUACGCCCUACGGGGGAAGCCCGGGGUUCACAAGACCUUGACCUUUUGGACGGGCCGUAUACGGAUUAGCUAGUUGGUGGGGUAACGGCUCACCAAGGCGACGAUCCGUAGCGGGUUUGAGAGGACGACCAGCCACACUGGGACUGAGACACGGCCCAGACUCCUACGGGAGGCAGCAGUGGGGAAUUUUGGACAAUGGGGGAAACCCUGAUCCAGCCAUCCCGCGUGUGCGAUGAAGGCCUUCGGGUUGUAAAGCACUUUUGGCAGGAAAGAAACGUCGCGGGUUAAUACCUCGCGAAACUGACGGUACCUGCAGAAUAAGCACCGGCUAACUACGUG
Molecule: ribosomal RNA, 484 nt
Filed under: uncultured bacterium
Lineage: Bacteria
Description: partial 16S ribosomal RNA
Rfam family: Bacterial small subunit ribosomal RNA
Source: RNAcentral